RNAcentral lists this ribosomal RNA (407 nucleotides) under uncultured bacterium. Its description in RNAcentral is "partial 16S ribosomal RNA". It matches the Rfam family "Bacterial small subunit ribosomal RNA", at positions 28 to 526 of the family's 1533-position model. The record is from RNAcentral.
GACGAACGCUGGCGGCGUGCCUAAUACAUGCAAGUAGAACGCAGUUGCGAACGGGUGAGUAACGCGUAGGUAACUGCCUCAUAGCGGGGGAUAACUCUAGGAAACGAUAGCUAAUACCGCAUACUGUGCGAUGGACCUGCGUGGUAUUAGCUAGUUGGUGAGGUAAAGGCUCACCAAGGCGACGAUACAUAGCCGACGUGAGAGGGUUGACGGGCAACAUGGGACUGGGAAACGGGCCAGACCCCGACGGGAGGCAGCAGGAGGGAAGCAUUGGAAAUGGACGGAAAGCGGACUGAGCAACGCCGGGGUAGAGAAGAAGGUUUUUGGGUCGGAAAGCUCUGUUGUUAGGGAAGCGGUAACGAACCAGAAAGGGACGGCUAACUACGUGCCAGCAGCCGCGGUAAUUC